UAUAAAAAUCCACAUUUAUCCAUUUUAGUUUCUCACAAACUCUAUACAAAAAAAAAAGAAGAAGAGCUAGAGAGAGAGUGAGCUAAGAGAAGAAGUGUGAUCAUUUUACAGAGAGUGGGUCGCCGGAGCUCGUCGCCGGAGCAACCGUGCGCCGUGAUCGCGUUCAGCUCGCUACCACCGAUAACCGCCCGAGACCACCAUCGUGUUCCUCUCGUCGAGACGAAGCCGUAGACACCAACCACGCUGCAAUCGGAGCCCGGACGAAGCCGCUAGAGCCUCCCGAAGUUUUGCCUCUGCGCGGGCGUGAAACGCACGCGCCGUCGCCGUCCGCCGGAGCCACCGCGAAUUCCGGCCACUCGCCACCGUCUCCGACCAACGUUCGCCGGAGCCGCCGUGACCGGCCACCGUCCGUUCGCCGCCGAGAAGCUGCCGCCGCGUCGCCGCCUCGCCGCCGUCGCCACCGUUGAUUUUCCGGUAAGCCGCCGCCACCCUCCGCCGUCGCCGCCGGUGACUAUUGCCGGUGACUCGCCGGCGACUCGCCAACUCGGCCGAGUCGACCCGGUGAAUCAACUCGGUGACUCGGUCAACCGGUUGGUUUGACUGGUUUAAAUUGAUUUAGAGUUGGUUAGGUUAAACCGCCGGUUUAAAUCAAUUAGAUUUCGGUUAGGAUAAACCGGUUAGAUAGAUUAAUUAAUUAAUUAAUCAAUUGAUGGUUAAGGUAAACCGGAUGGUUUAAUUGGAAUCGAUUUCGAUUGAAUAAAACCGGUUGGUUUAAAUCAAUUCCAAUCUGGUCAAGGGUUGACCGGCUUGGGUCAAAGUUGACUGGGUUGGCCUUCGACCAGCGUGUUGACUUUUCCGUAAACCUUGAUCCGAUCCGUUCUAAUCCGUUCGAAAGGCGUUUUGACUCGAUUUUUCGCCCUGGUUUCAGAUUUGGAGUCUAUUUGAGCAUCUGGAGUUCAUAGAUACCACUACUUCUUGUUGCUAAGGUGAGGGCUUCUCCGUUUAAAUCCCGAACUAGUUUAGUACUACCAUUAUGGAAAGUUUAGUUUCGAAACAUGAUCCGUCUCUGUGAAUCGAGUCUAUUUGAGAGUCUUGCUUGUUCAUUAUUGAUAUUGAUUGUUAAACCGGAAAUAGGAUAAUAGAGGAUUCAACGGUUGAUUGAAAUGAUUGAUGUUAAGAACUAUUAAAUAUAUAUAUGUAUAUAUGCUAGUCCAUGUGUUGAGAUUGCGGGGUGCAGAGGUGAUUGCACUAGGCCGCAUGUUUGAGAGAACGCGGGGUACGGAGAUAUCUGUACUAGGCCGUGUGUUUAGCGGGGUACAGAGACGUUUGUACUAGGCCGCUUUGUUUGAGAGAUCGCGGGGUACAGAGAUAUCUGUACUAGGCCGUGUGUUUAGCGGGGUACAGAGACGUUUGUACUAGGCCGCUUUGGUUGUGGAGAUUGCGGGGUACAGAGUGGACUACUGUACUUACGACGCUUGUAGAGUCAUAUAUAUUUAUAUCCUUAUAAGGAAAUGCGGUAUGCUAUCAUCGCAUUGGUUGUAGCAUGUCUAGUCCACUAGACAUAUGUUGAUUGUUUCGUGUGGUGUAAUAGACGCCGUGUUUGUUUCAUGCUAGAGCUAGGCCUACAUUUUAGUAGUGCUAUGAACUCAGUCAGUGGUUUGCGGUUUAGCAUUCCAUACCUCACUGGGCGAUUCCCCUGUCGCUCACCCCUCCUUCUUUCCCCUUUCAGGUGAGACCGAUGAGCAGGAGUGAUUAUACCGGACCGGUGCUUUUGGGCUUUUACUACUAUCGAGCUUUGGACUUCUAUCACUUUUAUCGUUUUAUCGCUUUUGGGCCUUUGGGCUCCUAUCUACCGUUUAUGUUAUCUUGUAUUUUGGACUUUCGGUUUAUGUCGUACUUUAUAUUUCGAAUGUUAUCGUUAUUGAGCCUUUAGGCCUUAUGAUAUUGUAUUGACUUUUAUAUUUAUAAAUGGAGAUUUCAUAAACUAUUAUUUA
Brassica rapa (field mustard) is the source of this 1994-nucleotide long non-coding RNA. RefSeq lists it as uncharacterized. NCBI's taxonomy places the organism in Eukaryota, Viridiplantae, Streptophyta, Magnoliopsida, Brassicales, Brassicaceae. The record is from RefSeq and is a predicted model, not a curated record.